This 518-nucleotide ribosomal RNA is filed under the name Bacillus cereus. RNAcentral describes it as "bacterial SSU rRNA". It matches the Rfam family "Bacterial small subunit ribosomal RNA", at positions 371 to 880 of the family's 1533-position model. The record is from RNAcentral. Lineage: Bacteria; Bacillati; Bacillota; Bacilli; Caryophanales; Bacillaceae.
CCUGAUAGAAGUCUGACGGAGCACGCCGCGUGAGUGAUGAAGGCUUUCGGGUCGUAAAACUCUGUUGUUAGGGAAGAACAAGUGCUAGUUGAAUAAGCUGGCACCUUGACGGUACCUAACCAGAAAGCCACGGCUAACUACGUGCCAGCAGCCGCGGUAAUACGUAGGUGGCAAGCGUUAUCCGGAAUUAUUGGGCGUAAAGCGCGCGCAGGUGGUUUCUUAAGUCUGAUGUGAAAGCCCACGGCUCAACCGUGGAGGGUCAUUGGAAACUGGGAGACUUGAGUGCAGAAGAGGAAAGUGGAAUUCCAUGUGUAGCGGUGAAAUGCGUAGAGAUAUGGAGGAACACCAGUGGCGAAGGCGACUUUCUGGUCUGUAACUGACACUGAGGCGCGAAAGCGUGGGGAGCAAACAGGAUUAGAUACCCUGGUAGUCCACGCCGUAAACGAUGAGUGCUAAGUGUUAGAGGGUUUCCGCCCUUUAGUGCUGAAGUUAACGCAUUAAGCACUCCGCCUGGGGAG